UUAAGAAAAAUGUCUAAGAAACGGGAUAGUGCAAGUUUCCUUGAUGAAGAGACGAAGAAGAUGAAGCUUGAUAUAUAUUCAUCAAGCGGGUUGGCCUCUGAUGUUAAACAAGAAGAAGAUGGCUCAGAAGGUGUUAUUGAUCCACCGGCAAGUGCAGUAGUUGAUAAUCAAGGCAGCUUGAGCCCAUUAAUGGAGAAUAAACCCAGAAACCAGGAUGAUAAGGAUUUUUCAUCUGGGUCGGUUCCAGCAAGCACUCAUGAUCAUGAUUCCGAAACUAAGAAGACGGGAAGUUCAUCUUCCUCGUUAACGGAAUCAGCAAGUUGCAGCAGCAUAAAUAAGAGAACCCUCGUCUACAAGAAGAGCUUAACUCGUGAUGAUGUCUUCUACCGCAGGCUCAUGAUUCCAUUAGAACUUGGUAAAGAAUUUCUCCCUGAACCUGAGAAAUAUAAAGGAAGAUAUGACAUGACAGAAAUAUCAGUGAUGGACCAUAAGAGACGGAUCUGGGACAUGGAGGCUGCAUUUGAUGAACUGAGCAGCUCCUACAUGUUUUUUUUGAACUGGGACAAAUAUGUGAAGAGAUAUGGAUUGGAGCCCGAGGAUGUGAUUUUCUUAUAUGAGGAUCCCACUAUUGACGACUACUUCUUGAUUGAAUAUGAGAAAAGGAAGCGUGACAGCAACCCCAAAGAGACAACUUGAGGCCGUAUAACAAGAGAAAGCCUUUUUGGUGGGUGAAUGCAUUCAAAAUCUAGCUAGAAACAAGGCUUAUAUAGAUUAUUCAUCUGGGUCCGUCCCAGUAAGCCUUGAUGAUGAAGGUCCUCAAACCAAGAAGAUGGGCAGUUCAUCUUCCUCAUCAUCAAGUUCCAGCAGCGAAGGCUCCAUAAAUGGUGGUUCAGGUCAGAGAAACCUCCUCUACAAGAAGAGCUUAACCUACGCGGAUGUCUACUUCGGCAGGCUCGUGAUUCCACUUGAAUCUGCAACAGCUUUUCUCCCUGGACCUGAGAAACGUGACGGAAGAUAUGAAAGGAUAUUAAUAUCACUUCUAGACCACAAGAGAGAGGUGUGGACGAUAGGGGCUACGUUCGACGAACUGAACAACUCCUACAUGCUUUGGUGGAACUGGGGCAAAUUUGUGAAGAAACAUAGAUUGGAACCCGAGGACGUGAUUUUCUUAUAUGACGAUCUCUCUCUUCAGUUCUGGUCCAUUGAAUAUGUAAGAAAGUUGCAUGAAGAGAGCUUGAGGCCAUACAAGAAGAGAAGCCUUUUUCGUGUGUGAAUGCAUUCAGAAAAUUCUAGCUUAGGGUAAAGGAGUCUCGCGUUCCAGUGGAAGAAUGAAGAAGAA
Vitis riparia (riverbank grape) is the source of this 1339-nucleotide RNA transcript. RefSeq lists it as uncharacterized. The record is from RefSeq and is a predicted model, not a curated record. The transcript is spliced from 4 exons. NCBI's taxonomy places the organism in Eukaryota, Viridiplantae, Streptophyta, Magnoliopsida, Vitales, Vitaceae.